UGGGUGGUAGCCAAGUGGUCGACGGCACUAGUCUCCAAAACUAGCUGCGAAAGCACACUCAGGUUCGAAUCCUGACCACUCAG
RNAcentral lists this transfer RNA (83 nucleotides) under Caudoviricetes sp. RNAcentral describes it as "tRNA-Trp". It matches the Rfam family "tRNA". Rfam says of the family: Transfer RNA (tRNA) molecules are approximately 80 nucleotides in length. Their secondary structure includes four short double-helical elements and three loops (D, anti-codon, and T loops). Lineage: Duplodnaviria; Heunggongvirae; Uroviricota; Caudoviricetes. The record is from RNAcentral.